RNAcentral lists this ribosomal RNA (439 nucleotides) under uncultured bacterium. Its description in RNAcentral is "partial 16S ribosomal RNA". It matches the Rfam family "Bacterial small subunit ribosomal RNA", at positions 339 to 795 of the family's 1533-position model. The record is from RNAcentral.
CUACGGGCGGCUCCAGUGAGGAAUAUUGCACAAUGGAGGAAACUCUGAUGCAGCAACGCCGCGUGGAGGAUGACGCAUUUCGGUGUGUAAACUCCUUUUAUAUGUCAAGAAAAUGACGGUAGCAUAUGAAUAAGCACCGGCUAACUCCGUGCCAGCAGCCGCGGUAAUACGGAGGGUGCAAGCGUUACUCGGAAUCACUGGGCGUAAAGGACGCGUAGGCGGGAUAUCAAGUCAGUUGUGAAAUCCUACAGCUUAACUGUAGAACUGCACUUGAAACUGGUAACCUAGAGUAUGGGAGGGGGAGAUGGAAUUAGUGGUGUAGGGGUAAAAUCCGUAGAUAUCACUAGGAAUACCUAAAGCGAAGGCGAUCUCCUGGAACAUAACUGACGCUAAGGCGUGAAAGCGUGGGGAGCAAACAGGAUUAGAUACCCCAGUAGUC